This 1163-nucleotide ribosomal RNA is filed under the name Nostoc sp. FI5-VF5. RNAcentral's name for it is "bacterial SSU rRNA". It matches the Rfam family "Bacterial small subunit ribosomal RNA", at positions 356 to 1532 of the family's 1533-position model. Lineage: Bacteria; Bacillati; Cyanobacteriota; Cyanophyceae; Nostocales; Nostocaceae. The record is from RNAcentral.
GGGGAAUUUUCCGCAAUGGGCGAAAGCCUGACGGAGCAAUACCGCGUGAGGGAGGAAGGCUCUUGGGUCGUAAACCUCUUUUCUCAGGGAAGAACACAAUGACGGUACCUGAGGAAUAAGCAUCGGCUAACUCCGUGCCAGCAGCCGCGGUAAUACGGAGGAUGCAAGCGUUAUCCGGAAUGAUUGGGCGUAAAGCGUCCGCAGGUGGCUGUGUAAGUCUGCUGUUAAAGAGUCUAGCUCAACUAGAUACAAGCAGUGGAAACUACACGGCUAGAGUACGUUCGGGGCAGAGGGAAUUCCUGGUGUAGCGGUGAAAUGCGUAGAGAUCAGGAAGAACACCAGUGGCGAAGGCGCUCUGCUAGGCCGUAACUGACACUGAGGGACGAAAGCUAUGGGAGCGAAUGGGAUUAGAUACCCCAGUAGUCCUAGCCGUAAACGAUGGAUACUAGGCGUGGCUUGUAUCGACCCGAGCCGUGCCGUAGCUAACGCGUUAAGUAUCCCGCCUGGGGAGUACGCCGGCAACGGUGAAACUCAAAGGAAUUGACGGGGGCCCGCACAAGCGGUGGAGUAUGUGGUUUAAUUCGAUGCAACGCGAAGAACCUUACCAAGGCUUGACAUGUCGCGAAUCCUGGUGAAAGCUGAGAGUGCCUUCGGGAGCGCGAACACAGGUGGUGCAUGGCUGUCGUCAGCUCGUGUCGUGAGAUGUUGGGUUAAGUCCCGCAACGAGCGCAACCCUCGUUUUUAGUUGCCAGCAUUAAGUUGGGCACUCUAGAGAGACUGCCGGUGACAAACCGGAGGAAGGUGGGGAUGACGUCAAGUCAGCAUGCCCCUUACGCCUUGGGCUACACACGUACUACAAUGCUCCGGACAGAGGGCAGCAAGCAUGCGAAUGCAAGCAAAUCCCGUAAACCGGAGCUCAGUUCAGAUCGCAGGCUGCAACUCGCCUGCGUGAAGGAGGAAUCGCUAGUAAUUGCAGGUCAGCAUACUGCAGUGAAUUCGUUCCCGGGCCUUGUACACACCGCCCGUCACACCAUGGAAGCUGGUAGUGCCCGAAGUCAUUACUCCAACCUUUCGGGGGGGAGGAUGCCUAAGGCAGGACUGGUGACUGGGGUGAAGUCGUAACAAGGUAGCCGUACCGGAAGGUGUGGCUGGAUCACCUCCUU